UACGAAGGGUGCAAGCGUUACUCGGAAUUACUGGGCGUAAAGCGCGCGUAGGCGGCUAAUUAAGUCAAAUGUGAAAUCCCCCGAGCUUAACUUGGGAAUUGCAUUCGAUACUGGUUAGCUAGAGUGUGGGAGAGGAUGGUAGAAUUCCAGGUGUAGCGGUGAAAUGCGUAGAGAUCUGGAGGAAUACCGAUGGCGAAGGCAGCCAUCUGGCCUAACACUGACGCUGAGGUGCGAAAGCAUGGGGAGCAAACAGG
This 254-nucleotide ribosomal RNA is filed under the name uncultured bacterium. RNAcentral describes it as "partial 16S ribosomal RNA". It matches the Rfam family "Bacterial small subunit ribosomal RNA", at positions 524 to 776 of the family's 1533-position model. The record is from RNAcentral.